Molecule: ribosomal RNA, 410 nt
Filed under: Bacillus cereus
Lineage: Bacteria; Bacillati; Bacillota; Bacilli; Caryophanales; Bacillaceae
Description: bacterial SSU rRNA
Rfam family: Bacterial small subunit ribosomal RNA
Source: RNAcentral
CAAGGUCUCUGCAUCCUAGAGAUAGGGCUUCUCCUUCGGGAGCAGAGUGACAGGUGGUGCAUGGUUGUCGUCAGCUCGUGUCGUGAGAUGUUGGGUUAAGUCCCGCAACGAGCGCAACCCUUGAUCUUAGUUGCCAUCAUUAAGUUGGGCACUCUAAGGUGACUGCCGGUGACAAACCGGAGGAAGGUGGGGAUGACGUCAAAUCAUCAUGCCCCUUAUGACCUGGGCUACACACGUGCUACAAUGGACGGUACAAAGAGCUGCAAGACCGCGAGGUGGAGCUAAUCUCAUAAAACCGUUCUCAGUUCGGAUUGUAGGCUGCAACUCGCCUACAUGAAGCUGGAAUCGCUAGUAAUCGCGGAUCAGCAUGCCGCGGUGAAUACGUUCCCGGGUCUUGUACACACCGAACG